Molecule: ribosomal RNA, 372 nt
Filed under: uncultured organism
Description: bacterial SSU rRNA
Rfam family: Bacterial small subunit ribosomal RNA
Source: RNAcentral
CAGAGGGGGCAAGCGUUAUUCGGAAUUAUUGGGCGUAAAGGGCGCGUAGGCGGCUUUGCAAGUGACGGGUGAAAUCCCUCGGCUUAACCGAGGAACUGCCUGUCAAACUGCGUGGCUUGAGACCAGGAGAGGUGAGUGGAAUUCCCAGUGUAGCGGUGAAAUGCGUAGAUAUUGGGAGGAACACCAGUGGCGAAGGCGGCUCACUGGACUGGUACUGACGCUGAGGCGCGAAAGCGUGGGGAGCAAACAGGAUUAGAUACCCUGGUGGUCCACGCCGUAAACGAUGAGUGCUUGGUGUAGCGGGUAUCGACCCCUGCUGUGCCGAAGUCAACACAUUAAGCACUCCGCCUGGGGAGUACGGUCGCAAGGCUG